UGCGCAGGCGGUUUUUUUAAGUCAGAUGUGAAAUACCCGGGCUUAACCUGGGGGGUGCAUUUGAAACUGGGGAACUUGAGUGCAGGAGAGGAAAGUGGAAUUCCUAGUGUAGCGGUGAAAUGCGUAGAUAUUAGGAGGAACACCAGUGGCGAAGGCGACUUUCUGGACUGUAACUGACGCUGAGGCACGAAAGCGUGGGGAGCAAACAGGAUUAGACUACCCUGGUAGUCCACGCCGUAAACGAUGGAUACUAGGUGUAGGGGGCGAUAGCUCUCUGUGCCGCAGCAAACGCAAUAAGUAUCCCCGCCUGGGGGAUACGAUCGCAAGGUUGAA
RNAcentral lists this ribosomal RNA (333 nucleotides) under uncultured bacterium. RNAcentral's name for it is "partial 16S ribosomal RNA". It matches the Rfam family "Bacterial small subunit ribosomal RNA", at positions 568 to 898 of the family's 1533-position model. The record is from RNAcentral.